Molecule: ribosomal RNA, 1370 nt
Filed under: Posthodiplostomum sp. NSMT:Pl_5926
Lineage: Eukaryota; Metazoa; Platyhelminthes; Trematoda; Diplostomida; Diplostomidae
Description: eukaryotic LSU rRNA
Rfam family: Eukaryotic large subunit ribosomal RNA
Source: RNAcentral
CCUGACCUCGGAUCAGACGUGAAUACCCGCUGAACUUAAGCAUAUCACUAAGCGGAGGAAAAGAAACUAACCAGGAUUCCCCUAGUAACGGCGAGUGAACGGGGAUUAGCCCAGCACCGAAGCCUGUGGCCGUUUGGCUGCUAGGCAAUGUGGUGUUUAGGUCGUCUCUUGGCAUUACUGCUCCAUCCUAAGUCCAGCACUGAGUAUGGCAUCUGGAAUGGCCCAUGGAGGGUGAAAGGCCCGUGGGGGUGGAGAUCAAGUCGGCCAGUAUUGCCCUGAGUAGACCUUGGAGUCGGGUUGUUUGUGAAUGCAGCCCAAAGUGGGUGGUAAACUCCAUCCAAGGCUAAAUACUAACACGAGUCCGAUAGCGAACAAGUACCGUGAGGGAAAGUUGAAAAGUACUUUGAAGAGAGAGUAAACAGUGCGUGAAACCGCUCAGAGGUAAACAGGUGGAGUUGAACUGUAAGCUCCGGGGAUUCAGCUGGUGAGUGUGUCAUGGGCUUGGCCAUUUUCGGUCGGCUUCUGGAGUCCGCUUAGCUGCGGGUCUUUGCUCUUUCGGGAGUAAGGAUGUGCGUUGCGCUUGUCAAGUGCUGUGCGCUCUAGGGGUUUCCGGGCUGACUCGCUAGUGCACUUUCUCGGAGUGGUCACCACGACCGGCGUUGUUGUCUUACUGCUGUGGUCAAACCGGUCAGAUUUGGUCCUUGUGGCUGAAUUUGAUCGGGAUGGCAGGUAGCUCAUUGGUUGGCUUGCCAGCCUUUGGGUGUAAUAGCUGACUGCAGUGGUUUUGUGCAAUACGUCGGAGACGGCGGCUUCAGGUAUGUGCUUAUGUGCUGUGAGCUGGCAGUGUCGGGUCUGACUGGCGUGUUACCUGCUUCGGUGGGUCUGUCGGUGGCUCGGUGCUGUUCGGUUUGCGGUUGCAUUUGUGAUGCCGUUAAUGGGCCCAUAGUCUGUGGUGUAGCAGCAAACGAUCCACCUGACCCGUCUUGAAACACGGACCAAGGAGUUUAACAUGUGCGCGAGUCAUUGGGCGUUACGAAACCCAAAGGCGCAGUGAAAGUGAAGGUUCGGCUUGUCCGGACUGAGGUGAGAUCCUGUGGCUUCUCGUGCGAGGUACCACCAAGCGUGUGAGUCAUAGGCGCAUCACCAGCCCGUCUCAUGGUGUAGUCGUGUGGCCUUGUGUUGCAUGCGUCACCGGGGCGGAGCCUGAGCGCACACGUUGAGACCCGAAAGAUGGUGAACUAUGCUUGCGCAGGUUGAAGCCAGAGGAAACUCUGGUGGAGGACCGCAGCGAUUCUGACGUGCAAAUCGAUCGUCUAACGUGAGUAUAGGGGCGAAAGACUAAUCGAACCAUCUAGUAGCUGGUUCCCUCC